UGCCAGCAGCCGCGGUAAUACGAAGGGCCCGAGCGUUGCGCGGAAUCACUGGGCUUAAAGCGUACGCAGGCGGGCAUGCAGGCGUUUUGUGAAAUCCCUCGGCUCAACCGAGGAACUGCUUGACGAACCGCAUGCCUUGAGGCAGGUAGGGGCCAUCGGAACGAUAGGUGGAGUGGUGAAAUGCGUUGAUAUCUAUCGGAACGCCGAAGGAGAAAUCAGGUGGCUGGGCCUGUCCUGACGCUCAUGUACGAAAGCGUGGGGAGCGAACGGGAUUAGAUA
RNAcentral lists this ribosomal RNA (279 nucleotides) under uncultured bacterium. RNAcentral describes it as "partial 16S ribosomal RNA". It matches the Rfam family "Bacterial small subunit ribosomal RNA", at positions 506 to 784 of the family's 1533-position model. The record is from RNAcentral.